UAUAAGCCAAGGGUUUGGGACAGACACCUCAUAGGGGAGGUAGGAGAGGUUGCGGGGGGUAGAAGAGGGCGACGGGUAGCAGCUGUUGAGGCUCAGUGUUUAUGAGGGGAGUUUCGUACAGACACUGUGAGAGAAGAGGCCUAGAAAUGUUUAGCGGAAACGGAAUAUAAGGAUUUGGGUUAUAAAGGAUGAUGCUUUGAGGGAGAGGAGGAGAAAGGGGGCUUUUGCAGGGGAGUUGAAAGCAGUAAUGGUUUGUUCACAAGGAUUACAAAAGCCUUUCUUAGUGGAAGUAGAACGGGUUCUUGAAUGACUGGUGGUAACAGCAGCAAUAUCGAUGAAAGGAUCAUAGAUAUGUGUGCCUCUGGAAGAAGAGGGUGGAAGAGAGGGGUGAAGGUUUUGCAUUUAAGAAGGGAGGCUAGAUGCAUUUCUUUGUGGGAGGAGGAAAAAUGUAGGGUGGAAAUAAUAAUAGUGUAGGUAUAGCUGGUGAUCUCAUGGAGAGAAGUGAUUAAUCAAUUCCUGGAGCAACAAAGUGAAGAGAGCAGCUAUUUAAGCAGCUUGGGUUUAUGUGAAUCGUCAGAGAGUAGAUUAAGAUUCCAGUUGCAUCUGAGCUGAAGUCUCUACAGAGUCUGCUAUUUUUGGUAGCAAUGUGGAGCAGCAACAAAAGAGGAAGCGUGGUGGGAGAGUAAGCAUUCAGAACCUUCAGUUAAUGUAAUGUAUUAAAUGAAGCCAAGGGUAUGUAGUAACAGCAAAAGACUCCCUUAAAGACUACACUCCAACGCCGGGUAAAAAUUGACUUGCAUGAUUUAGGAAAAUAGAUAGGUUUUCAGGAGGCAACUGGGGAAAGGAGUUGCCAAAACAAAGACAAACCAAACCAACUACAUAUAAAGAGUGAAGUACUACUUUUCGAGAGGCACAGGAUUCAGCUAAUUCUAGAUAUGACUAGCGAUAUGAAGGAAAGGAUGAUCUUAGCUGCACCUGGAAGAUGCCUUUGAGGGUGAAAAAAUAAUUCAGUAGCCCAUGUUCACUCAGCCCAAAGAUCCUCUUGAUAGAAGAUUUCUAGUCAAAAUGACUGAAUGGCCUCAGAACAAUGUUGGAAAUGACAAUCUUUCAUACUAGGCAGUAUAGCUUCAUGGAUAAAGGACUGGAUUGGGACUCAGAAGACCUGGAUUCUAUUCCUGGUUCUGCCACAGGCUUAUUGGGAAAGUCAUUUUACCUUUCUGGAUAUCACUUGUAACAUGGAGAUGAUGAUGCUGACCUCCUUUGUAAAGCACUUUGAGAGCUACUGAUCAUAGGAGCUGACUCCAUGGGUGUUCCUGAGCUGGCGCAUCUACGGGGAAAAAAAAAUAGUGGGUGCUUAGCACCCACCGGCAGCCCUUCCACCCUCCGUCCCACUGGCAGCCUCCCCAUCAGCUUCUCCCCCUCCCUCCCAGCACCUUCUGCCCACUGCAGAUCAGCUGUUCAGCGGCGUGCAGGAGGUGCCAGGGGGAGGAGCAAGGGCAGGGCAUGCUCGGGGAGGAGGUGGAGUGGAGGCAGGGUCUGGAGGCAGAGGUCAAGCAUUCCCUGGCAACUUAGAAAGAUGGCCCCUCUGCUACUGCUGAAAAAUGCUACACAAGGAUUGAGUAUUGAUACAUCACUGGUUCAAAUCCAGCUAAGGUAAAUAGUAGUAUUAAAACAGCUGUUUGAAGGCUGUUUGGUGGUCUUUGUGAAACAAGCCACCUAAGUAGCCUAUAAUUAAAUGUUUAUAAUAUAAACAAAAGAAAAAAAAAGACAUUGAAUUAACAAGCAUUUCAGCCAUCAAUGCUCAUGCUCUGCUGGACUACUGUAUCCCUUUCUGCAUAAAGAGAUUUGCAACAGCUGCUAUCACUUACUAUAUUUUAGACAGCACAAACGACAUUCUGAGCACUAUCACAAAUUUAAAAAAAUAUGCAUUUCCAUUUGAAAUCCUUUGUGUUUUGGGGAAAGUUUGUCUCAAAUGACUGCCUUGAUUGUGGUCACUUGUGAGUGCAAGGACACAUGGGGACAGGGCAGAUGUGCCUGACUGAAUGGGAGAGACUAGGGGUUAGCCAGAAUGUGCA
Molecule: long non-coding RNA, 2075 nt
Organism: Trachemys scripta elegans
Lineage: Eukaryota; Metazoa; Chordata; Testudines; Emydidae
Exons: 3
Source: RefSeq, a predicted model, not a curated record